This 467-nucleotide ribosomal RNA is filed under the name uncultured bacterium. RNAcentral's name for it is "partial 16S ribosomal RNA". It matches the Rfam family "Bacterial small subunit ribosomal RNA", at positions 28 to 507 of the family's 1533-position model. The record is from RNAcentral.
GACGAACGCUGGCGGCGUGCUUAACACAUGCAAGUCGAACGGAAAGGCCCUGCUUUUGUGGGGUGCUCGAGUGGCGAACGGGUGAGUAACACGUGAGUAACCUGCCCUUGACUUUGGGAUAACUUCAGGAAACUGGGGCUAAUACCGGAUAGGAGCUCCUGCUGCAUGGUGGGGGUUGGAAAGUUUCGGCGGUUGGGGAUGGACUCGCGGCUUAUCAGCUUGUUGGUGGGGUAGUGGCUUACCAAGGCUUUGACGGGUAGCCGGCCUGAGAGGGUGACCGGCAAAAUGGGAACUGGGAUACGGCCCGAACUCCACCGGAGGCAGCAGUGGGGAAUAUUGCACAAUGGGCGGAAGCCUGAUGCAGCAACGCCGCGUGCGGGAUGACGGCCUUCGGGUUGUAAACCGCUUUCGCCUGUGACGAAGCGUGAGUGACGGUAAUGGGUAAAGAAGCACCGGCUAACUACGUG